AAAUAAUGUGAUGGAGCCAUUAUUUAUCAAUAAAGAAUAAUCGUCAAGGUUCUUUUUAAUUACGACAACAUUUUAGACUUUAAUUGAAAAAUUUAAAAGUUGAAGGAUUUAGUGGGAAGAGGUGCCAAAUCUAAGUAUUUAUAUAGAUUUUUUCCCCAUAAAACCAAUAGGAAAAAGGCACCUAAACCUCCACCUCUUCAAGAAUACUCUAGCUCAAAUAAGAUUAGAAUUGGAAAAUAGAAACAAAACCCAUCUUCUUCUCCUCCACCGAAAACCCCAUCACCAUCUUCAUCAACUUGGAGCUCUCACCACGGUGGCAUCAAUAUCUUCACAAUCCGGCCACCAAAUCCAGCGAUUCAAGCUCGGUUGGAGAGCUAACACACACACGAAUAAGUGUUAUGUUUCAGGUGUAUAGUAUCAGAUGUAACGGACUUCUAUCCUUGUUCCAGAAGUCCGCGAAUACAGAAAGAAGGAAUAAAUCAGUAGUGCUGCAGUAGUCGAGUCCUAGAGUGUAAUUAUGUUUUGUCAAACGGUUUUAUAUAUGUUGUUUAUACUCUGACAUGUAUAAAGGUUUUAAACUGCGCUUUUAAACCGUUUAUAUAUAUAUAUAUGUGAGAAACAGGGCAUUGCUUGAUAUGAGAUAUCGCUUUGUAAGACCCUGAUUUCUAAAGAUCGUUUUGUAUCGUUUAAAGAAGUUUUAUAAAAACGUUUUGAGAA
Molecule: long non-coding RNA, 717 nt
Organism: Mercurialis annua (annual mercury)
Lineage: Eukaryota; Viridiplantae; Streptophyta; Magnoliopsida; Malpighiales; Euphorbiaceae
Exons: 2
Source: RefSeq, a predicted model, not a curated record